AAGUCGUAACAAGGUUUCCGUAGGUAUGUUAUCACUCCCUUCCCCCUCCCUCCACGACUUCGGAACUAACGUGAAUAUUAGGUGAACCUGCGGAAGGAUCAUUAUCGAGUUAGGGUCUUCACGGCCCGACCUCCAACCCUUUGUUGAGUUGUACCAAGUUGCUUCGGCGGACCCGUCCCUCCUCCGGGGGGGACCGCCGGGGGGCGUCACACCCCUCUGGCCCGCGUCCGUCGACGGCCCCCCUUCAAAACUCUUGUGGAAACAUGUCAGUCUGAAACGUCAUGAUUAGCGAUAAUCAAAAACCAAAACUUUCAACAACGGAUCUCUUGGUUCUGGCAUCGAUGAAGAACGCAGCGAAAUGCGAUAAGUAAUGCGAAUUGCAGAAUUUCAGUGAGUCAUCGAAUCUUUGAACGCACAUUGCGCCCUUUGGCAUUCCGAAGGGCAUGCCUGUCCGAGCGUCAUUCACACCCCUCAAGCCUGGCUUGGCCUUGGACCACGUCGCUCACCCCGACCGGUCUCAAAAGUAAUGACGGCGUCCGGGGGACCCUCUCUACAACGAGCUUUCACCGGCACGUAGGGAGUCGCAAGGUCUCUCCGGCACGGUCUCACCCAUGAAUCUUUUCACGGUUGACCUCGGAUCAGGUAGGAAUACCCGCUGAACUUAA
RNAcentral lists this ribosomal RNA (665 nucleotides) under uncultured fungus. RNAcentral describes it as "eukaryotic LSU rRNA". The stretch from base 307 to 461 matches the Rfam family "5.8S ribosomal RNA". Lineage: Eukaryota; Fungi. The record is from RNAcentral.